UUAUGUAUAAAUGUAUACACGUGCCCUACAUAUAUCCACAGAUAUAUAGUGUAUAUAUAUACAUGGAUACGUGUGUAUAUG
This 81-nucleotide microRNA precursor is filed under the name Tupaia belangeri (northern tree shrew). RNAcentral describes it as "miRNA (ENSTBEG00000018041.1)". The record is from RNAcentral. Lineage: Eukaryota; Metazoa; Chordata; Mammalia; Scandentia; Tupaiidae.